Molecule: ribosomal RNA, 532 nt
Filed under: uncultured bacterium
Lineage: Bacteria
Description: bacterial SSU rRNA
Rfam family: Bacterial small subunit ribosomal RNA
Source: RNAcentral
AGGGUUUGAUCAUGGCUCAGAUUGAACGCUGGCGGCAGGCCUAACACAUGCAAGUCGAACGCGAAAGCACUUCGGUGUGAGUAGAGUGGCGGACGGGUGAGUAACGCGUGGGAAUCUACCUAGUAGUGGAGGAUAACUCGGGGAAACUCGAGCUAAUACUGCAUACGCCCUACGGGGGAAAGCGGGGGAUCUUCGGACCUCGUGCUAUUGGAUGAGCCCGCGUUAGAUUAGCUUGUUGGUGAGGUAAUGGCUCACCAAGGCGACGAUCUAUAGCUGGUCUGAGAGGAUGAUCAGCCACAUUGGGACUGAGACACGGCCCAAACUCCUACGGGAGGCAGCAGUGGGGAAUAUUGCGCAAUGGGCGAAAGCCUGACGCAGCCAUGCCGCGUGUGUGAAGAAGGCCUUCGGGUUGUAAAGCACUUUCAAUAGGGAGGAAAGGUUGUAGUUUAAUACGCUGCAACUGUGACGUUACCUAUAGAAGAAGGACCGGCUAACUCCGUGCCAGCAGCCGCGGUAAUACGGAGGGUCCGAG